Dalotia coriaria is the source of this 670-nucleotide long non-coding RNA. RefSeq lists it as uncharacterized. NCBI's taxonomy places the organism in Eukaryota, Metazoa, Arthropoda, Insecta, Coleoptera, Staphylinidae. The transcript is spliced from 3 exons. The record is from RefSeq and is a predicted model, not a curated record.
CUUGACGAGCAGCCGAACGACAAAGUCACGGCCAAGCGUGUAAGAGGUCAGUUGGCAAAGAAGCGCGUCCAUCGCGUCAAAGAACUAGAGCCCACAACGGAACUCUUCGGCUCGGCAGGUUGUCGUCGCGCCAACCUACUCGCACACCUUCGCUGCUCCAGAAGACGAGUUCUCAACGUGUACGAUAGUGUCUGCGCUUUUUAUUUAAGGACGCACUGCGUCGACGAAUUCCAGCCACUCAGUCAGUGUCGGUCGACAAUUACCAACGGCCGCAUCCACCAAAACUAUAUCAAAAUGUUCAAAAUUUCAUUUUUUAUCCUCCUAAGUGCAUUCUGCGGUGAUACACUUGCAAGAAAUGGAAGAAAUCCUUAUUAUUAUCUGCAACAAUGCAGUCGAUCCGAUCCGGAUGUAAACGAUUGUUUGGUGAAUUCAGCGAAUAAUCUCAUGCAUUAUAUUCGAUCCAGAGGAAUUCCUGGGUUGGGAAUUGAAAACCAGAACCAAUUCUUAUUGAUGAGAUUGGGAUUGCUUUGGGAAGUGGACCAGAUGGAUACAGAGCGAAAUUUAGACAAAUUAAUGCUUUUGGUGUGAGCAAUUUGACUAUGACAGCAGUCAGAUCUGACGUAGACACUCAUCAAUUCCAGUUUACUUUUACAUUCCACACAUUUCCGCG